GGUCCCAUGUAAGCUCAGUGGCAGAGCAAGGCAUCAGCACUGCCGGGGAUGGGGGUUCGAUUUCCCUGUGGAGCGCA
Molecule: non-coding RNA, 77 nt
Organism: Merluccius polli (Benguela hake)
Lineage: Eukaryota; Metazoa; Chordata; Actinopteri; Gadiformes; Merlucciidae
Source: the annotation of a GenBank genome assembly